RNAcentral lists this transfer RNA (76 nucleotides) under Escherichia coli. RNAcentral describes it as "tRNA-Lys". It matches the Rfam family "tRNA". Rfam says of the family: Transfer RNA (tRNA) molecules are approximately 80 nucleotides in length. Their secondary structure includes four short double-helical elements and three loops (D, anti-codon, and T loops). Further hydrogen bonds mediate the characteristic L-shaped molecular structure. tRNAs have two regions of fundamental functional importance: the anti-codon, which is responsible for specific mRNA codon recognition, and the 3' end, to which the tRNAs corresponding amino acid is attached (by aminoacyl-tRNA synthetases). tRNAs cope with the degeneracy of the genetic code in two manners: having more than one tRNA (with a specific anti-codon) for a particular amino acid; and 'wobble' base-pairing, i.e. permitting non-standard base-pairing at the 3rd anti-codon position. The record is from RNAcentral. Lineage: Bacteria; Pseudomonadati; Pseudomonadota; Gammaproteobacteria; Enterobacterales; Enterobacteriaceae. RNAcentral also lists the same sequence under 6 other names.
GGGUCGUUAGCUCAGUUGGUAGAGCAGUUGACUUUUAAUCAAUUGGUCGCAGGUUCGAAUCCUGCACGUCCCACCA